ACAAAGAGGCACAAACAAGAGUACCGAGUAUCUCAUAGCCUUCACCCACCGCUCCUUUUUUAUUUUCAUC
Molecule: small RNA, 70 nt
Filed under: Arabidopsis thaliana (thale cress)
Lineage: Eukaryota; Viridiplantae; Streptophyta; Magnoliopsida; Brassicales; Brassicaceae
Description: ATSL008020
Source: RNAcentral